AACGCGAAGAACCUUACCUGGUCUUGACAUCCCAGGAAUCCUGCAGAGAUGCGGGAGUGCCGUAAGGAACCUGGAGACAGGUGCUGCAUGGCUGUCGUCAGCUCGUGUCGUGAGAUGUUGGGUUAAGUCCCGCAACGAGCGCAACCCUUGUCCUUAGUUGCCAUCAUUAAGUUGGGAACUCUAAGGAGACCGCCGGUGACAAACCGGAGGAAGGUGGGGAUGACGUCAAGUCAUCAUGGCCUUUAUGACCAGGGCUACACACGUGCUACAAUGGUAGGUACAGAGGGAAGCCAACGCGCGAGCGGGAGCCAAUCCCAGAAAACCUAUCGUAGUCCGGAUCGGAGUCUGCAACUCGACUCCGUGAAGUCGGAAUCGCUAGUAAUCGCAGAUCAGCAUUGCUGCGGUGAAUACGUUCCCGGGCCUUGUACACACCGCUAGUC
Molecule: ribosomal RNA, 440 nt
Filed under: uncultured bacterium
Lineage: Bacteria
Description: bacterial SSU rRNA
Rfam family: Bacterial small subunit ribosomal RNA
Source: RNAcentral